Long non-coding RNA from Gallus gallus (chicken), 14699 nucleotides. Lineage: Eukaryota; Metazoa; Chordata; Aves; Galliformes; Phasianidae. The record is from Ensembl.
AGACAGCAAGCCAAGUGGGCAGAUGGGGACUUCUGUCCUCUACAAGCAGAAACCAACCACUACUGUCCCUUGCUACUUCCUCUUCUUGCUGAUGCGUGGUUCACGCGUGGCAUCAUGCUCUGAUACCUCCCCAGAUACAGCUUUCUGCCUCUCCUGCUACCAGGGCACCGUACCUAUUCUGAAACUGUGGACCUGUAGGUGGAGAAGGAACUGCUGUCCAUGUGCCAGAAGUCAUGUUAGAUUACUGGAGGAGGCUCUAAAUAGCUCACAGGGUCUGCAACAUCUAGGCACAACAAGAAAAAGGGAAAUAAUCAUUAUUUUCAUCUCAUAAUUUCUAAUCACUAUUGCAUUCAGCAUCACACCAGCUUGGAAGAGCCUGGGGAACCUCAUGGAUAACAUGCUGAGUCAGCAGUGCUCCCCGAUGGAGAAGAUGAAAGCAUACUGAAGACGCAUAAGCAAGAGUGUAACAAAGCAGGUGGAGAGAGGUGGCUUCCCCUCCUCUUCUUAACACUGCUGAAAUUGCAUCUACCAUGUUGUGCCUUGUUUUGUGAUUCUGCUAGGAAAAAAAAACAUUGGCAUCAGUAGAUAAUGACUGAAAUGGUUAGAGGGUUGCAGCACAUCACAUGCAAGGAGCUGCUCAGCAAACUACUUUCUGCAGUCUUCAGAAGAGAAGGGUAAGGGAAGGAUCUUGUUGCAUUUCCAUUUACUGAAAGGAAGGGUUUAGAAAAGAUGGAGCCAAGAUGCUUCUAGAGGUACAGCGUGACUGGAUGAGAGGCAAUGACAGAAGUUGCAAUGUGUGAAAUUCUAAUUAGUUGUUUGUAAAAAACAAACAAUGAAUGAAUGAGAUUGCUGAGAGACUUCACUGCAUUGUACACUUCAGGAAUACUGAAAGCUCAAUUGGCCAAGGCCCUGAAUAACUUUAUCUGAGUUGGCCCUGCUUUGAGAUGGAGUUUGGACCAAAUGGUGAUCAUAAGUCCCUUCCAACACACACAAUCCCAUGUUCCUGCAUGGUUACAUUGCCUGCAGAAUAAAACAAAAUCCUUCCUCACUUCACAUGAGGACAAACUAUUUAGAGACAGAUUGUUUUAAGUGGUAGGUAAAACUCGUCAGGAUAUGUAAAGCAGUGAAAUUGCACCGAAUGUUCCUGAGUUCUCUGUAGGUCAUGCACAAAUAUUCUAAGUAGAUAAAUAUUGUUGUGGAAAGGUAACAGUGUGAUAUGGCAUACAUUCCCAUUUAAAGAUUGUGUUUAAGCCCUAUGUGUACUUGCAGUUAUUUUUGGACAUUCAAGGUUUAAAUAUAUGGGCAUAGUUGUGUUUAAUCUGCUUUUGAAUAUAAUUUUUAAUGUAAGUUAUUGCAGUAAUUCUGGAUUGUGAUAGCUCAGAAAAUUCUUUCAGAUUUCAUAAUGCACAGAAACCUAAUCCUCAAUUUAGCCUCAAGCUCAGAAACAAUAACAUGCACAUUUUUAUUGUAAUUGUUCUUCCAUAAUUUAUAAUGAAUGUAAUUGAACUGAGACUCUCAUAAUAAUGUGAACAGAUGUCUUGACUUGUAAUAUGUUGUUCUAUAUUAGAUGCUUUUUUUAUAAUCAUUGAAAUGUGCCUGUAUUGUGUAUCUCCUUCCCUUGAACUAUGAAAUGCUUUAGAAGUGCAGAAGCAGUGUGAAUUCAUCAGCUCUAUUCAAGAUAAAACAGCCAAAACAACAAGCGUUAACAUUGUCCACUGGGUACUUUCCAUCGAUAACUUUUGUCUUGACAAAGAUCAAUUGUCUGUCCUAGAAGCUUUAGUGGAAAGAAUUAGAUCAAGUCAUUUAAAUUUUUUAGUAAGAAUUGAACAUUUACUGUUAAGUGAACUCAAUUUUAGGAGUAUCAAGGAGGGGAACACUUUAUUAUAGGUGAUGUUGGCUGAAAGAGACUGGAAAACAAAUACUAAUUGAACUUUCCGAGUGACAGGUCCACUGAGAUAUUCUGUGUCCAGUAGAAGGAGAUCUCUGAAUGGGGAUUGUCCCAAGAGUAACACUGCGUCUGUGCUCAGUAGUUGUCAGUAGCACUCUACAGACCAACUCACCCUUCAUGACUAUGGGACAUCGCAUCAUGCUGUUCCAGUGCAUUUGUCUAAUUCUUCUGCCUUGAAAUCCAUUAGGAGAGAAUGGAAUUACUGACACUUACUGAGCUGCUGCCAGAAGGAAAGUAGUAAAACUAUUAUUAGGAUUUUCACAGGGAAACCCUUGGGAGAUUGUUUUCAGCGAGAUAAGAAGUUCAAUUUAAUUACUGAAAUAAUUUGUCUGAAACAUGUUAUUAUCUGCAGCACAGCAGAACCGGGUAAAUACUUAUCUCUUGCUGUGGCAGCUCAGUGAAUCAGAACGGUCAAGCUCCCCUGCACUCCAUUGAUGAGCACAAUGUGUGUCCCCAAAGUUGUCACUGCAAAUCAGCAUUGAAGAGAAUGUGGCAACUGCCCCAUGUGGUCACGCCACCGGAAACACUGACAAGAAAAGAAAGAAAAGGGGCUGGCCCCAAGAGAACACACUGUAUGUUCAUGUGGAAUGCCUUUGGGAGAGCUCUGGACAGGCACAGCUCGUACCUUGAGUGACAGACUCUGCCUCACCUUGUUUCACUUUAACCUAACAUAGUAAGAGCGCUUCCAGAUGUGGAGUCCUCAGUACAGGAGAGACAUAGACCUGUUGGAGCGUGUCCAGAAGAGGGCCACAAAAGUGGCAUCAUAAGGAAGAAGCAUCUUUAGUAGUGCUGCCCUAGAACUGGCAGAAGUACUCAGCAGUACAUUAUGCCCAGAGUACAAGCUCGAAUAAUAUUAAUGCAUUGCAAACUGAAGACAAUACAUAACUUCUAGGAUAACUUAGCCCCUCUCCCCCUUCUCCCUUAUCAUUUUUAUCUUUUCCUUUUGCUUUCAUUUCCAAUUCUUCGUGCUAGUCUGUUAGUUGUACUUUUUUUUAAUUAUUAUUUUUUACCUCUACAGACUCUCUUUCCUUUUCACAUUUUCCCUUUUGGGAAGUUGGGGGAGGCUGGUACUUGGUGUUAGAAAUAAGGGAAAAGGCCAGUAAGGGCAGUGGCAGACAGCAGAUGCUUGAAGAAUAAUCUGAGAGCCAGGCACCAAGUUAAAAUUGCCUAUUCAAAGUUGUUUUGAAAGGAUGCUACCUAACAAAGUAGAGCAAAAAAAAUUAUGAGUUACUGUGCUUCUCACAACUGCCAUUCACACUUUCUAAGAUACCACUAAACAUUUUCCCCUGAGCUCCACUAGAAGUGGUGCUGAGCAGGUGAGCGUUUGUCUGAUGAAAUACUGAAAACAUACGAAAGAAAAUGAGGUUGUUUUAGGUAUUCUGCCUCUCAUCUGCUACAGUGUGAGCUGUGAUGUGCUCUCAUGAACGACUGUACCCUAUAAAUUGCUCUUAUCAAUUUUAUCACUAUAUUAAAUUUUUGGACUCAUAUCUUUAGAUGUAUUUUUAAGGAAUGCUGCCUUAUAAGCAUGGAACUCUCACAUCAGUAAGUCAGACUGCCUAAGCUUUCAUUUCUAAACUAGCGUAUAGCAACAUGAGCCUCUGGAAUGGGCUGUCAAGACUGCAACAAGCAUUCUGUACUAUGUAAGAUCUUUUGUAGGUUCUUUGGCCCUACUGGGAAGCCAUAAACAGUGCCUGUUUCACAGAGCCCAGAAAACAGAGCACUGUGAAGUUCAAAAUAUGAAGAAGAAAUACUGCCAACUCCAAUAGCUCUCCUGGGGUCAUAUAGUUUUGGGCUGGAGCUGAUACCAGCUUUGUGUGGACAAAUUCAGUCUUUUCACAAAACCUUUUACUGGCCAUUACUUUAUUCAUGGUAUAAAGACUAACCAAGCUAUUUUGUUUUAAGCCAUAUAUUUAAAUCUUCAUGAGACAGGGGAGGGCUUGGAAGGGGGAAAGUGGGGAGAACUAAUGGCUGAGUUAGGAGUCUUUCACAGCUGUACAGCAGCAGUGGUUUGCAGUGCAUGGCAAUACCACAAAUAUUAAGUGCUUAAGCAGUGGUGCUGAAUCAAAUGGUGAAUACAUUCUAAAGAAAUACAAAUGACAACUGUUUAUACGCUUUAUUUUCCAAAUACAUAAAAGUAAAUAAUUUGAAACAUGUAUUUGAUUUACAUCUUGUAUUCCUACCUUUUGUUUCUUACUGCCUGCUUUUGUGUUGUCAUUUCCCACAGUGCUCAUCUAAGACUCUGAAAGGUAAAAACUGUUUUAUUAUAUGUAUGAUGGCAAAGUUGUCCUUUGCAUGAAGAACUGGAGGGGGAAGCCUGUGUACAGUCUUCCCCUACCUAGGGACAAGUCGUAGUGUAUGGAUAUGGACUCUUCUCAAAGUGCAGAUAGAAAAACAAUCAAUCACAAACUACAGCAGAGGAAGUUUGAGUGGACACAGGAAGAAAGUCUUCACAGGGAGUCCAAAUAAGUCUGGUAUGAGAUUGUCCAGAGAGGAGGUACAGUCUUCAUCCUUAGAUGAACAACACAGUGUGUGACAACUGCUCAGAAAUUAAUGCCUCCUAUUUAAUGAUAUUGGCCCAUAACAACAGAGGCAGAUGUUGGUGGUAUGGCAGUAGAGGUUGAACCUUCCCAUCAGUAUUCCUUUACAUAUUGUUGCUGCGUGACAGACGGCCACAGAGGGGCAGUCUGACAGAAUGGUGUCUGACAUGAAAAUGCAGAUGAAGCGAAGGUGUGGGACUGAAUUAUUCCAUGCUGAAAUAAUGGCACCCACUGACAUUCACUGAUUCUUGCUAAACGUUUCUGGAGACCAAAGAGUGGAUGUGAGCACAGUGAGGUGGUGGGUGGUGUGUUUCACUGGUGGUGACAGCAGCAUUAAAGACAAGCCAUGUUCCAGAUGUCAUGCACAGCUGUCACACCACAAAAUGAAAUGUGUCUCGAUCAGCUCAUCCAUGUGAAUCAGCUAAUGGUGGUGACUAUAUUGAAAAAACAGUGUUUUGUAGCUGAGAAUUUGCUCUAUCAAGUAGUGUGCUUGUGCUCUUUGUGGUUGUUGUCGUUUCCAAGGGAAUGAAUAGGAGGCAUUACUUCUGGAGAAACCUAUAUAGCUUUGAAGUUAGCCCUGCUUGGAGGUUUCUUCCAAUACCAAGUUUUGCAAAACACUGUGCAGCACUCCUUAAUACAAGAACAAGAAGAGCAAGCUAAAUUGAUUUUGCAAAGGUAUCUUCCCCUCUCAGCAAUGCAAAGCCUGAAACAGAUCAGGGAAUAGUAUCAAACUGGAAAGCGUGCAGUGUGAUAUGUUUCCUCUGGCAGAUGAAGAGGUACUACGUUGUGCACCAGGAAAAAAAUAGGCCCUCUUAAAAUGAUUCUUACACAGCACAACACUCCAUGUGAUAUUUAGCUUAGCUAUUCUUGUUACCAGGUGGUAAGACUUGAAGGUGAAGAAGUUAAAAUAAUUUAACAACUGAAAAGAUAAAUGACAAAAUCAAAGAAUAACAGCCCUUACGUUUUAUUUAAAAGCCAUGGCUUUAUUCUACAAUAGGUUCAAGAAGAUUAACACCACAAAAAGAGAAACAAAAAUAAGGAUAACAAAGAUGUAAUUAAAAAAAAAUAAAUUGAAUUUUGACUGUAGUGUAGAAACCAUUUCUAAUAGUGAGAUACAGGAGAAGGAGAAUAAGAAUAAGAAUAAGAAUAAGAAUAAGAAUAAGAAUAAGAAUCCUACUGGUUAACAUAUUUAGUUGUACAUCUCACAGAAUAUGAGUAACUACAACACCAGAGAUGUCUCUUUAGUUAUUGUCAUUGGAAGGGGUAUAGAGUGAUUUAACUCCUUUCUUGCACUAGAUUCGAUUAGCCAAACUAUUUUUUAGUGCAAUCCUUCCAAGCAAUGUAUUGCUUCAUUCUCAGUAUCCCAUAUCCUUUUACAGAGGUUUGUGCAGACUCUUCUGCAUCUGCAAAAACGACAGAAUUACUUUUUAGGAAGAAAAAUGCCUGAGCUUAGUAACACUCAAAGAGUGAAAUAAAUGCUUUAUAAUAUAAUAUUAAUAAAAAAGAGAAAUAUAAUCUGAUAUUUCUGUGUUCAUCAAUGAAUGAUGAAAGCCCUAAAUAGGGGAAGGGUGACUGAUGAUAGAGUCAUGCAUCGUAUUCAGAGAAGUUACUAUAUACCUGUUAAAGUUGGACAACCAUGACCAUAAGCAUCUGUCAGAAAUAUUUAGGCAUGCUAUGAUUAAAAAAAAAACAAACAAACUGAUUUAUAUUUUCUUUAGCAAUGAUAUUAUCUGGUUUAUCCACUCCCAGUAUUUUUGGAACAUGUGGGUAACAGUCCAUAUAUUUUUAUCAUUUGCAGUGCUGGUGUAUUAGAUAAAGCUAUACUGCGCCUUUUUUUCCCCUCUCAUCAGCUUGGAAGUUAUCUCUUAUCUAAAACAGUCCAAAGUUUUUAACCUCCAACCAACUACCCUAAGCUUUACUGGGAGCUGGAUGUACAUUUCUCAGCAUCCAAACACAUGGACAGGUUAUACAUUUCUGACGGUAUCCCUCAUUACAUAAACAGAUGGAAAAUACUGCACGCUUUUAAGGGUUAUCGAUAAAUCUAAUCUAUACUAUAUAUAUUGCUAAUGUCAGAAUGCACGCUAUCUUGACUAGCUGUUAUCCUGUGGGAAUAAAGAAAAAUGUGUUUUUGCCAUGCACAGAUAAUUUGCUUCUUACUUAUUUCAAAUGUUUUGGUCUUCCUGGCUCCCCAAGAGUCCGUGCUUCCUUAACAGAGCUAUUGCAUUCAUUUGUCCAACUUCUGGUAAAGCAAAAAAAAUAACCACUGAACAAUUCCUUUUCUAACACAUAGACUAUAACACAAACAAGCAAGGACACCAUCAGUCUAGAAAUAUUUCCUGACAAGAAUGUUAAGUAAUGCAGUCUUAGUGUAUGAAUGAUGUUCCAAUGCAUGUGCACAUAUCUGAGUGUGAUAUGAAUCUCCACAGGUUUAUCUUAGGAAUCUGCUUUGGAGAGUUUCACAGAAUGGAAAUUCAAGCGCUCACACGGGUAGAAAUUCAUAUUAAGGCCAUAAUCUAAUUCAGCCAUUAGGAUAUUGCUUUAGCUGUAACAGCAUUAAUAUCCUCUACCACUAUUAAAUUAACACAAAAAGCAAGCUAAAUGAAAACAUAAUUAACAUCAACACAGUCGAGGCCCAGCCCCCAUUGCUGAAUUAUCAAGAUCAGCUGUACUCCAUUGAUUAUAACCAUUAAUCACAGUCUGGCAUGUUUUUAUUUGGUUUUCUCAGAAUGAUGUCCUUUUAAUCUCAUUAAUUUUUAUUCUGGGUAUGUUUCUGCUGGCUUGGUUAUAGAGUUCCUAACUUAAAUGUUAGAGCAAUUUUAUAUCCCUCAGUUGGGUUCAUGGUACAAUUUCUCACUGAUAUUCCCUAUGGAAAGCUGAACACAACACAGAGAUAAUAAAAUGGUGAUACGUAGUUUCUCUCCUGUUGUGUCAUUUUUUUUUCUAUAUCUUUUCUGUAUCCUUGUCACUUAUUGUUUCUGUUGGUUCUUUGUCUGCCUUCCAUCUUCUGAAGCAUUCAAAAAGGAGUGAAUACUAGUUUUGAUAUCUUCUAAAAGUUAAUACUCAUACCUGGUUUGGAGAGUCUUUGGAUGCUUUUUACACUUAGUCUGCUAGCAUUCAUUGUCUUCCUUAUUUUCCUUGUUUCUGAAAGAUCACAGGUGAUCCCUGAUUUUACCUUUUUUGCCUUUGCGCUGCUCUUCAGCCCUGCUACCUUCUUUCUGACCUUUCUGAAGUUUUUUCCAGUAAGCAUGAAUUCUGAAUUUCUAGUGUGAUGUUCAGGACGCUCCCCAUACUGCCUGCAAUUAUGGCUUAUUUAACUGAUAGCCUCUUUUGAAAGAGUCAUAGACUCAAAGAAGGAUUUAGGUUGGAAGUCCAUCCAUACUGUCACCAGCUCCAAGAGCUAACUACAAAGCUAGAUCAGGUUGGCGAAGGCUUUGUCCAGGACAGUUUUAAAAACCUCCAAGGACAGUUAUCUUGCCACCUCUCUGGGCAGUUGUUAAGCCUUCUUUUAGCAAAUAUUUCUUUCCAUAUGUCCAAUCAAAGUUUCUCCUACAACUGUUUUUAAUUGUCCUUUUGCUGUACUCUGAGGAGUUCUCUUCUGCUGAUAGCAUCUCUCUUGAAACGGAAUGGAUGUAUUGGAUUUCUUUGUUGUUUCCGCACUCUGCAAAUGCUGCAAUCACUUUGAAGAAUGACUCUUCAACAGUAAUAUUCUGAAUCAGGUCCUCAUGCACUGACUAGAAUCAGGCCAACAGAUGUUGAUAGUGUCUAAGUAUUAGCCAUAUUCAUGGCAUUUAAGUAGACUAUAUUGUCUGUUGAGUUUCCUCAGGUUGCUGAUGACUCUUAUUGGACCUAGGUAAAGUGUUUAGUUUGAACACAACCAUCCCCCUUCUAACUAAGACAAGCACACAGCUCUUAUUGAAAAUUAUUGUCCUUUCACACACACAAAAGAAGGUAAUUCCUUAAAAACAACUAUUAUCCCCUUUCUUUUUACAAAUGCAAAUAUAUUUCGGUGGUAAAGGUGUCUCAGGACUCAAGGACAACGGACCAUAUUUUAAAUACCCAGAAAUAAAUAAGCUGGAUCAAUAUACUGCAACAGAUUGUUUUGCUCAUUAGAAGGUAAAAAUAAAAAGGAAACUUGUCAAUCUACCAAAAAUGUAGCCUUUCAAUAAGGAUAUAAUUGGAACACACUGUCAAAAACAACUUUGAAAUGAAAUUCACAGCAGCUGGUACUCAAUACACUUCAUGACAGGUCAUCAAAGAUAAAAAUUUAUCUCUCCAUGUUACUUCUUUCAUCUUUGUCAGAUAUUUCAAUAUGUCCAGGCUUUUGAAAGUCAUAUUAACUCUUUCCGGUUAGAAUAAAGCACCAAUUGUGUCUUUAUCUUAUUUAGAGUCUUUUCCUUUGCAGAAAGAACACAAAAGGUCUUCUUUAAGAGGAAUAUCUCAUUCUUGCAUUUGCUACUGUGAAUCACAAGCCUCUUCUAAACGAGCCCAUAUAGCUUUUACUAGUCCAUACAUUUGUUGUAGCUUUCUGCGAACAAAUUCUUUCUUUAGUAAUAGAUGACUUGCUUCCUUCACUAUAAAUACUAUGCAACAUUUAGUAAUAUUUUCUAGCAAUCAACAGAUUGUGAGCACCAUUUUAUGUGGGCAUACUUCUUAAAAAAAAAAACAAAACAAAACAACAACAUCCUGAAUAUAAGUCUAGAGACAUUUAGAAAGACAGAGGGUAACAUUAACAAUUAGAUCUGAUAAAGAUCUAUGAAAUUCUGCUCUGCAGCUCCCUGAUAAAAAGUAGCACCUCCUUCAUAAUACCCUCAGUCUAAAAGAGAAACAAACAGUUGUUAAUUUUCUGUGUGGAAAAGUCUCUUUGAUAUUUCCUAACACUCCAUAAAUCCAAAAUAAUCAUAUAAAAUGCCUCUGGUGACUAGUCUCCUCAUUUGAGAUAAUACAUAAUUUCAGAUAAAAUCAUGUCCAAAGGGUGGGUUUCUCUGCACUAUGCUGUAGCAGUAUUGAUCACAAAGAAUAGAGUGACCUCUAAAAGUGACUAAACAUCACCAAACCAUCACUAGAGAUUGCAUAAGCUGCAACUAGAGAGAAAGUAAGUACUGCCAUGCGUAGAAGGCCAGCUGUUUGGGAGGUUUUCAAAUGCCUUCUACGACUGAAGUUGUUGAAUAAUUAAAAUUUGCCUGCUAUGUAUUUGACCUGCUUUUCCUAUCAACACUCCAGUGUUUUGUAUGUCCCUCUCUACUUUGUGCUGCAUCAUCUUUAUUUAUCCACUUUGGCAUUUGAAAAAAAGCAUAGAGAGGCAGGGCUGAAAUACAUUGCAAGACUGAUUAAGCAUGAGAGCUGGCAACCGAGCUGGCUUGGCAGUUACGUCUGCUUGGAGAAGCUGACUAUACAAGACCUCCAGUCUUUUCCUCUUUGUGUGACCUUUAGAAAAUGCAGAAAAUGCUCUCAAGGAAUAAGCUUAGGCCAAGACUCCUAGCUUCUGUGAAAGAGAGAGAAGUAAUGGGUAGAGUACGGUUGAGAAAAAAAAUUGCAACUGCAUCCCUAUUCUAUAGUCAGGUUUGACAAAUUCAAACCUUCCAUCACACAUGCCCUCUCCCAGUAGGCCAAGGGAAUGCAAAAUGCAUUAUCUGAUGGUGCUUGCUAGUGGGAAAGGCCUGUGAAAUCGGUCUUUAAUUGACUCAGACAGGAGGGCAUAACCUCAAACUUUAAACAUGUAGACCUUCUGAAAACUGAAGUCCGUAUUGGUGAAUUGAGGUCUCACUUUUCUGACUUCUUUUAUGAUCAAUUCAGCCAAUCCACAGUACUUCAGGAGGUUUGAGGACAAUACAGUAAAUGUCGUGUUGUAAAAUCACCACUUGGAUUUGCUUGUCACAACUAAUUUCACUAAUAAAAUAUCCUAAAUUAACUUAUUUUAAUUAGGAUUUUAAUUAAUAAACAUUUAUAUUUCCUAAUAUAGAAUACUCAAGAGCUAAGCAAACCCUUUGUCCUUAUCUUACUGUGUUUUAAGAAUAAGACUACUAUGUUAUACAGUUCACCUACUAGUUGGGUAACAUUGUAUGCGAAAGUCUAUUUCAUCAGUUUUGCUGGUGAGAUUUACUCUUCAGAGAACAAGUACAUUUAAUUUUUGUUAGUUUCAGCCUAUAAAAUACGUACGCUGAAGAAUAAGAUAUCCUCUUCAUUUUUCCCCAUAAAUCCCUUUUCAGCUCUUCAUGGACUGUGAAUUACAUGCCUUACUUAAAUACAGAACCGUAUCCUUCUGACCUAAAAUCUCUGACCUGUGAGAUGAAGUGACAUUGUUUCUGCUUGAGGACGGGUUGGGCUAAUUGCUAAGUGAUUGCUGUGACACAGCUGGUACACGGUUUUGUUCCCAGGGUAACUCUCUCAUAAGAAGUGAUUCAGAAUCAAUCAUUUGUUUUAUAGAGAUACAGCAGGUGUUAUGUGCUGCACAUGGGGAAAAUAGACAUUUUUACUGUGAGGAUCAUCAUCUUAUUAAAAUAUCCUUUCAUUCCUCUUUGUGAUGUGGAAAGAACAUUGUCAGUGUUACAGCAGAAAGAAACGUAACGGUUUCAGUAUGAAGGAGACUUAGGAAUUUCUCCUUUGCUUAACAUGAAAUCUCUGGCAUUCACAUGAACCUAAAAAGCCAUAAUAAAACUGCAAAGAAAUACCAUUUUUCUCUUUUGCCAUCAAUAAAAUCAUACAGCCCUUCCCCACACCCAUGAGCACUGGCUUACAAUAAUAGGCAAAGAGCUACAUUAUAUUUACAACAUGCAGCAGAGACCACCUUAUUGUAUACGAAUGUUAGGCAGUUAGGACAGAGUUCAGCUCCCACUGAAGUUUACUGGACUUCUAAUCAGGGGAGAUGCAUUUGCACCUACAGAGCUGGAGUUCUUGCUGGAGAAAGCAAACAAUUACAUCCGCCUUUUUGUUCUUGAGACGACACCUACGAAUAGGAGACAGUGUUUGUUCCUUUUAUGUGGAUGAAGAAAGACUUUCAUUUCACAUGUGAAGAAGAAAAUAAACACAAACUCCAGCUUCGCGUUAUCGUGUAUCUGAAUAAUAAUAAUAAAUAAUAAAAAGGAUCUCCUUCAGUGCAUGAAGCUUCUGUAAGAAAGAAACAAACUCAUCAAGGAUGCAGGCUUUGAGUUGUGGCUCACUUUACAUCUGUGCACAACAUCUCUUGAUUUCUAUGAGGUUUUAUGCCAGAAUUCGGCUUAUUUCUCAGGAAAAAUGUAACAUUUUGGAGAUAGAAAAAAGAAGCAUUUCUGAAUUUUGCAAAAAUAAACUUCAUGAAGAUUCAGUUACUCUUCAAAUUAUUUUCUAAAUAUUUUUGAGAUAUGUAUUUUUGCUUACAAUACUUUUAAGAAAAAAAAAAUUCUUCCUUUAUAUUAAAUCAGGAAUUUUUAGCUGUGAAGAAAAUCUGUGAUUGAAUUUCAUGAAAUUGACUUUUUUUUUCAUACAGCUAGUUACUGUUUUAUCCAACCACAGACAGCAGUAGCAUAAGAUCAUAUGAGACAGAGAUGAUCCUGUCCGAUUCAUUUAAAGCUAUGGGAAAUCCCUUCCAGAUUUAUUGCCAUUUGACAGUUCAAAAAGUAAUGAUAAUGUCUAGAUGUUCCACUGCAGUCUUAUAUUUCUUAUCAUUUCAAUUACUUUCUUGACAUUACUCUUUUUCCUGGAGGGAAUGCCUUGGUUUCAUAGAGGCUCAUGUCAAGGAGUGUGUGGUGGGUAAGCCUCAGUUGGCAGCUCAACUCCAUCUGGCCUCUCACUUACCACCCCUCACAGUGGGACUGUGGAGAAAAUAGGAAGGAGAGGAAUGAGAAAGCUCAUGGGUGGAGAUAUGAGGCAGGGGGGUUGCUUACUAAUUGACUUUGUGGGCAAAACAGACUUAACUUGAGGAAAAUUAGCACACGUCUUAGCACACGUCUGAUUAAAAUAAAUAUGUGAUUACUGGUUUGGUAGUGAAAAAUAAAAAGGCAAAUAUUAAAAGAACUCCUUUCCUCCUCCCUUCCCUGACUCAUCUCCACUCUUUCAUCCCUGACUCCUCUUCUCUUCACUAAGCAGAGCAGGGGGUGAGUGUCCUCCCCUCCUUCUUCACCAACCUUGGUGCCUACAGAGCUAUUUCUCACACUUUUUUUCCUCACUCCUCUUUCUCACAGAAUGCUGUCCAGCAUUUCUGCCCUUUUUGGCUACAUUUCCCCCGAGGUGCCCCACUUGUUGUGGGCUCAACUUUGGGCAGUGAUAGGUCCUUGCAGAGGCCUCCCCUGCUGUCUCCCACCACCAACACCUUGCUACCCACCUGCAAUGCAGAAUGUGGCCUAUCUCUGCCAUGCAGUCAGAUCCCAUCAGGGCAGGAAUCCUACAGUAGAACAGGAUGAGAUGUGCUGUUACCCAAAGAUUGGUGUGGAGGAAAGGCAGAGUCUGGGGCAGAGCAGCACUGGUGCAGCUGCACAGACUGUAGAGGCUUCUGCCUACCCUCUGCCUCUCUUAGAAAAUACAACUUGUGGAAUGCUGGGCUUUAUUGAAACAGUCUAAAACAUAUCAUGUCAGAUGAGUAAGAUGACCCUCAGCCUGUUUUACAGAAUUUACUGGAUGUUUAGGCUCACUAAGAAGCUAAUAUUAAAAGCCUUGAUGUUACUGCCAGAACUUGAAGUCUGCAAUUCAGAGAUUUGAUUCCUUUGAUAACUAUCUCAAGUUAGAGGCUCUGUAGUUGUUAUUCUACUCUUGCAUUUCUUCUAUUUCCUUAUUUAGAAAAACAUCUUAUUAAAUCUUUUAUUUUUGUUCAUCAAAGUGAAGGUUCUGUAUAUAAAGGCAAACAAAAUUUUGCAUUUGAUGGCAUCAAAAGACUUCUGGAGAUGAAACAGUUUUCAAGAUUAGGCUUAGAAAAUGUAUUUUCAUGUCCAUUUACAAAACAACCAAAUUACGUAAAGAAAGCCUCCUUGAUAUCAGAUGGGACUUAGUCAUGGUUGGAGUUAAGGACUUCUAACAACCAAUAAUCAUUUAAGUCAAUAGAUUGAUUUGUACUGAUAUCAAUUAGCACAAUCUGAAGAUUGAUAACAGAAAAGUUUAUCAUCUCGAAACACCCAAGAAGACCAAAAUCACAACAGCUCACCCUGUCAGGGUCAUGGACAUGUCAGGGAAUGACAAGACACAGCCUCCAGCAAGCAGGAGGCCCAAUGUCUCAGGGAGAGCAAUGAGAUGCAAUGUACUCCUACACAGUCUGCUUUUAGGCCUCUGGCCAUAACUGCCCACAAUGUAUAAGGAGGCUCAAUUCACACGCGUUUGAGGGUUAAAUCUCAAGCUGUUACUUGUCAAAGAAAAUUCAGAGCUUUUAAAAUACUGAUUCUCAGCAACAUGAAAAAGCUCACACAUAACCUUCACAGCAAACAAACCCCAGACAACAGUUCUGCUGAGUGAAGUUCUCUAUACUUACCGCUGCUGUUUAGUUUAACUGUUUGAGCUCUAAAUAUUAAACAGAAUUAUUGUGAAGUACUACUCAUCAGUAAUACUAAGUAUUAAUAGCUAGCCUAUUAUUGAAAUGAAUUAGUCUGUACAUGUAAAAGUGCAUUGAUUUUGUAAUUAAAAUCUUUCUGUAGUUACUUAUCUUUCUAUAAGACUCCUGCAUUUCUGUUAUUCUAUUGACAAAGACAUUAUCACUUACUGCAAAAGUUCUGGGCUUUUGCAAGUAGCCUUCAUUAAAACAAAAGAUUAAAGAUUUUCAUCCAUUCCAGAUGAAUUUAUCUAUUUGAUUCUUUUUUUCAUCUCAGUCUUGCUUCAGUCACUUAAAGACUGUCUUGUGUUAGAAUUAAAUCUUUACAUUUUUGAUGUGCUGAAGAGAUCAAAAGAUGCAUUGUAUUUAACCUCUAAAUUACAGCAUUAAUACAGGCAAAUCAAAGAGAGAGGUGAAAUAAAAUUCAGUAUAGAAAGGGGCUUCUGAUAUAUGUCUACGGAAAAAGUAAACAUUUGUAACUGACAAGGAAGAGCUGGAUGAGUUUUACCCUGCUUGCUCUUACAGGGUUUCUAAAGUUAAGAUUAAGCCUCUGAUUCUGCAAAACACCUCUGUAAUUUAAGUGUAUCAGUAAUCAAAUUAGAACUGCAAAGUCCAUUCUACCUUCUGAUUAUCAGCACUAUUUCUUUCUUUCAAAGCAAUCCCAUCAGUAGAGACUGUCUGAAAUAUAUAGGGCUACGCACAUUAUGAAUAGCUUAAAUAACCCUGC